This 1018-nucleotide long non-coding RNA is filed under the name Dendronephthya gigantea. Its description in RNAcentral is "uncharacterized LOC114543723, transcript variant X1". Lineage: Eukaryota; Metazoa; Cnidaria; Anthozoa; Malacalcyonacea; Nephtheidae. The record is from RNAcentral.
AUGAUAAUUACAAGAACACCAUGCAGUAUAAUCAUGCCAAGAUUGCUCUAAACUUUUUGGGUUGUUCAAAAUUUCCAGUGGGCUUAUACACACUAACUCACCCAUACUGAAAAGCAUGCCUUGCAAUGACCAGCCAGGUUCUGUUUCACUAGUACUGCACAAUAGACCAUGAGCUUACUAAAUUAAAUCCAUAGAUUUAAUUCUUAAUAUUUCAAUUGUCUUUUAAGGUAAUUAUACAUUAUAAAUAGAUUCAACUGAUUCAAAUCCAAUUCUUUGUGUCACUUAAUAUUUAAUUCAAUUCAUGGUUGUUAAUGUGAGCACUUACAUCAUAAUAAGAUCAUUCUAAUUGUUAGAUAAAGUGUUCUAUCAGCCUUACACAUUAUAGAGUGUAACAAGAGGUUGAAGCCCUGCUAAAAUUCAGGCAAAAUUCACAGGAUGAAAACAAUGGAAAAAGAAUAUAAGAAUAUAAUAUGUUUAAUAAGGAAAUACACGUGUUACCUGAAUCCAGAAAUUCUCGCUGAGCAUCAUUCAAACAAAAGAAUUAUAUCAUCCUUUCAGAACAGCUGCAAAAGGCGAAAGCAGCUGUCACCGGUCAUAAAAUAGAUAGACAAGAAGUUGUCCUUUCUGGAGCACUAUAUCAUCCCAUGAAGGUAAUUAAUCAAUACUAUUUCAAGAAUUAUAAAGUAUUUCAUAUUUAUAUGUAUGCAUAAUUUUUUCUCUGUCUUAAUAUUGUUUCGAAAAAUUCAAGAAUUUUUGGUACUUGGAAGAGAGGUAGGACAUAGCUAUUGCUAAAACGUAAUUAGCAUUGUUUUCAUGCAUAUUGUACAGUACAUGUGGAAUGUUACACGAUAUUUUUGCAGUUUUGGCAUGCAGUUUUGUUCCUCACUCAAGGUAACUAAAAUCUUUUGAUUUAAGGUCCGUUCACACUAUCCAUUAUGUCGGAUCCAAUUCACUUCUUACGUAUGGAAUGUGGUUUGUUAUCGAUAAAACAGUACUGCAUGCAUUGGUUUUAGUUGAU